RNAcentral lists this ribosomal RNA (252 nucleotides) under uncultured bacterium. Its description in RNAcentral is "partial 16S ribosomal RNA". It matches the Rfam family "Bacterial small subunit ribosomal RNA", at positions 524 to 776 of the family's 1533-position model. The record is from RNAcentral.
UACGAAGGGGGCGAGCGUUGUUCGGAUUUACUGGGCGUAAAGGGCGCGUAGGCGGCCGGGUCAGUCGGGCCUGUAAGUGCGGGGCUCAACCCCGUGAUGGGCUCGGGACGGCCCGGCUGGGGCGCGGUCGAGGGAGACGGAAUGCCGGGUGUAGUGGUGAAAUGCGUAGAGAUCCGGAGGAACACCAAAGGCGAAGGCAGUGUCCUGGGGAGUACCUGACGCUCAGGUGCGAAAGCCAGGGGAGCGAACGGG